ACUGGGUCCCUUUAAAUAUUAAUUCGUUUAUUUUUUUAAUUUUUAACUAUGUGUGUGCAGGGCAGUGUCAUAUUCUUCCUAUGUUGACAGGCCAAAAGUGGUGGCAGCCCUUGGGCGCUGUUGGGACCAGAAUCCCAGUGCCCUUAUUUUCUUUCCCUUGUUCUACAGGAGUAAGAGUCACAAUAAUGUUUUGAUAAAACAAGAAGGCAAAGAACAAAUAGGUCUUGAUAAAUGAAGUUGUGUAAACACACACUAAUUCUGUGAAAACAUUAUCCUACCUAAAA
Spea bombifrons (plains spadefoot toad) is the source of this 284-nucleotide long non-coding RNA. RefSeq lists it as uncharacterized. NCBI's taxonomy places the organism in Eukaryota, Metazoa, Chordata, Amphibia, Anura, Pelobatidae. The record is from RefSeq and is a predicted model, not a curated record. The transcript has 2 exons.